This 2456-nucleotide long non-coding RNA is filed under the name Manduca sexta (tobacco hornworm). Its description in RNAcentral is "uncharacterized LOC115446697". The record is from RNAcentral. Lineage: Eukaryota; Metazoa; Arthropoda; Insecta; Lepidoptera; Sphingidae.
UUUUGUCCGCGUCUGUACACUACAAUGGGUACGCGCAAAACGUGUACUACACCAUACGUUUGCAAACUAAGGUAGCUGUCGGUCGCGCACGCGCCUGCAAUACCAACUAGACGGAAAACUUGUGACAAUGAAAAACUUGUGAGCAGUGACGUGGAAAGUAAAUAAAUCGUGUUCGCGAUAACAUUCGCUGAGAAACUGAGGAAAGUGAUUGUGUUACGAGAAAUCGUUGGAGCCGGCGCACGCUUGAUAUGAAGAAGCUAUCCCUCAGCAGAGAUGUGGAACUACUCAAGCGUCGAGUCGGGGCAGCAGCUCAGCAGAAUGGAUAGGAUACGAGUGUACCUAUCCGAGUGUGUUGUCUGCUUCUGCAUUCUAUUCUUCAUCGUCUGUGUGGGACUUCUCCUUUAUCUCUUCUUCCAUUUGUAUAGUACCGUCACCACAGCGGGGAAGAUAGCUGGAACAUUAGCUGAGAGCUAAUGAACUAGUACUUUGAACUGAAUCUUGUGUUGUGAUCUGGUACAACAUUAAUUUAACAAGUCGUUCAAUGUAAUUAUGAAUUUGUUUUAAAUUAAUUCUCAAUUUAAAAUGAGUCUCCCGAUAUCUUUCAAUAUGUUACAGGAAAGGUUUUAAUUCCGCAUUGAAGCCUGGAUUUUUUAAAUUAAAUUACGUGCAUCGCAAAAGCUAAUUGGUAAGCCAAUAACGGAUCCGAGCUUGUAAUAUUGAAAAAACUGCCUUUAAUUUAUGAACUAUUUUAUAAAUAUUUUUACUGAAGAGAAGCAAAUUACUAAUAAACAUGAGAGUAAUAAAUAAGAGAGAAAUGGUCAGCGGAUAAUUUGGACUUGUGGUAGACCGUACGAAGGUUAAUAGCUGCUUCCCAUCAGUUUUCUUUUCUUUCUAUAUAUGCACGGCUAAGUGUCCCCACUGCACCUAAUAGUAAGUGGAGUGGAGUCCAAUAGAAUGUCGAUUGACGAGAGAUGAUUACCCCUCAGCAAUCGAUACAAUUAUGCCGGCCUGUUAGAACCGAAUAUACACAGGCUGAUCCCGGAACGCGACACACUUACGUAGGCCACUAUGGCGGGUUUUAACACCUUGUGUACGGCGGUCGCUAUCCUUUCUGCUGACCAUGAUUCAAAUCGGCGAAUGAACGUUGUGAAGCUUGGCUCAACCACAAGUUACAAAGCGGUACAACAAAUUCAGUCAUUAUAUUUUGUAUUAUUAAAGAUCUUCUGGUAUGUUACCUCCUUUGAUUAAAUGUCAUGUAUUAUUAUAAAUUGAUUUCCCGUCUUCGGCUCCUGUCAGGUAUUUAACAAUAUCAAGUUUUUGUAAACCUAGUAGAAUUACAAUAAAUUUAUCUCACAAUGUGUUCAAGCAAUGUAAAUAGAUUAUAAUAAUUAUUACUAUUAAACAAGAAAUGAGAAUUAGAUUAAAUGUAGGCCCAAAUCCUUUAAAAAUAUGUGCCAAAGUCAAGUAUGAUAAUCAAUAUUAUGGUAUUUAAAUUGUAGUUUAUUUUUUAUCGAAUAAGUCGAUAUACAUAGUUGUGAUUAUAAAUGUAGUAUAUUAUUUUUUUAUUCAGUGUACAGUAUUUUUUCAUUGUUAAAAUAUGAAUAUAAAAUGCUAUGCAGAAAUGUUUUAAAUAUUGUUGAACACAAUAUAUUUUCGGAAACAGUAUUAACAAAAUUGCGCCAAUUAAAGUUAUUUCAAGGAUAAAAAUAAAUAACAAGGAAGUAAAUGUGAGGUUUAUAAAAGAAUUAACGCGGAAUUGCAAAAUCGAGACUUUAUUUUAUAAUGUAUUGAGUCAUUCGAUCUUGAACUGAUUGCUUGGAGUUCGACUGCUAAUCUGCGCUAAUAGAAAUGAUUCAUGAUUGACGUUUAUGUCUUCAUUCCAUAUUUAAAUGAUUGACAUGAGACACAGGCGUGCAUCACUAUUCGAAUAAAAAAAAAUGUCUAUGAAAUUAAUCGAAUAAUGAACAGUAAUUAUAAAAUAGAUAAGUAUUAAUGAUUUUCUAUUUAAAUAUAAUCUUUAAUUUUUGUAAAUUUGAAAAAAAAUAUGGAUGUGUUAUCUCGUAAAUUGAUAAAUAUAUUGUAAAAUGCCAUCAUUAAAAAUUUAAUUAUUUGCUGAUAUGUUAGAUGAAAUCAUGUUAUCGUAGUAUUUACUUACAUAGAAUAAAUUGUUACUUAUUAAACUAAUAAACACUAGUCAAUAGUAUUAAAAUAAGUAUUUUAAACUUACGUCAAUCACACGUGUAGGAGAAAUGAAUGUCUGGUUAAACCAAACAUAAAAUAGAUAUUAAAAUAUAUAAUUUUCUAUAUUCAAUGUGCAUAUAUAUUCGGCAUAUCAUAAAUUUUCCCGAAUUGUAAUUAUUAUAUUAGUAAAUAAUUACUAAUAAUUCCCCAUAAUUCCUCGUGUACUCGAUUAUUAAUUAAUAUUAUUAUAAUAAAAAAUGUUGGUAAUAAUAUUA